GCUAGGGGCGGAAGCGGGAAGGCGGGGCUAAGCCCGACAAGGGAGCGGAAGAGGCCCGGGCGGCUGGGUGAGGCGCGGAGACGGUUUGGCGGUGAGUCCUGGGCCCGGAGCAGCUGAAAGCUUCGGAAUCGGGGAGACGCCAGAACCAGCGGAAGGACUUGGGAUUCCGGGGCAGUCGCCGCUGCCGCUGCUGCUGCUUCUGCCGCCGCGAACGCCGCCGCUGCUGCCGAAGGACGCGGCCCUAAGAGGCCUUGUAGGCCUAGGUGCGGCCCGCGGAGCCUGACGUGUUGUUACCGUGAGUAAAGCGAGCGCCCUCUCCACAGUCGCUUACGCAGUAAAAUGGAGGAGAUUUCGUUGGCCAACCUGGAUACUAACAAGCUAGAGGCCAUCGCGCAGGAGAUUUACGUAGACCUGAUAGAGGAUUCUUGUUUGGGAUUCUGCUUUGAGGUGCACCGGGCAGUCAAGUGCGGCUACUUCUACCUGGAGUUCGCAGAGACUGGGAGCGUGAAGGAUUUUGGCAUUCAGCCCGUGGAAGACAAAGGCGCGUGCCGCCUCCCGCUCUGCUCCCUUCCCGGAGAGCCUGAGAAUGGGCCCGAUCAGCAGCUGCAGCGCUCACCUCCGGAAUUCCAGUAGCUGCAACAUGAGAGCGUCUGAGAGUGACCAGGAGAAUGACAUAGACUGGUCCUGUGGCUUGGAGGAGUAAGCUAAGUCAGCUCUGCAGCCAGGGGCAGGAGUUGCUGCACUGCCUGUGUGCAGUGCAUUGUGUGUAUAUAUCUAAACACACGAGGAUGUGCCCAAGAUCCUGUAGUGCCCCUGUUUCGCAGGUGAGCGGUGUGUUACCGGCAUGGAAAAUUUUCUGUUACUCUGCCUGAUGUCAGGGGCUUCCUGGACAUGGUGGACAUUACUAAAUUGGUCAAAGCUAUAAUCAGUGGCCUAAGUGGGACUGCUCUUCUGAUCUCUGAGCCUCUGAUUAGGGCUUCUUUGAGAUAAAUGAAAAAGUCAGAUGUGAGAUCUGUAUGCUGACAAUUUCGAUUUGAGAAAACCAAGAAAAAGAAUUUCCAACCAGAAUUGGUAGGGAAACGCUGUAGCCUUGAGUUCAACAAGAAGAAAAGAUAAAAACCACCGGUUUCUCAAAGGUCCAGCUUUUACAGUGAUUCCAACCAGUCUGAGGACUAGGCCUAUCCUUUGGCUGAGUAGAGCCCUCUCUUGCCCUCGCAUCUGGUGGCAUAGGCUUGCAAAUGUACAAUUUUGUUGUCCAAGCAGGCUGAGGAUUCAGUUUUGAUCCCCUGGAGAAGUAGCAGGGACCUCUGCAACUAUGCACGAUUUCUCAAACUGCAAGAUUCAUAUCUGGAUGUAUUCUGUGGAUAUAAGUUUAUUGGGCAGUCAUUUUCUGAAUUACUGGUAACCUAACCAGUCCAUGGGUGUGACUUGGUCAUUAUGCCAGGUCACUAUCUGCCUCCCACUCCAGGGGCAGGCCUGAACUAUAGAAGAGAAUCAUGACUGUGUAACAGGCUAUGAUUUGAAAACUGAGCCUAGAGGGGACCUCUUCCAACUGCCCUCAGUAAUGUGAAUGGGUUAGUGCUAGGAGCCAAGGAGCAGGACUGGGCCAUCUCUCAUCUGACUGUGUGCAGAAAUAAUCCUGUUGAAUGCCCCUGUUUCUUUUGUUGGUCUGUCAGAGCUCUGCUAUGGUGAACAUCCAGACUGUCACCACAUUCUCUUCCCAUCACAGAGGACAGUCCAUUCCACUAGGUUCCCUUUGGAUCUUCUUGACAACAAGAGCUGUCCUUUUAUUGUUUGGAGACAGAGACGGACCUCCAGAAUUUCCUGGCGUCAGGGAAUGGGAUAGGGGAAAAUGGAAAGUGACAGCCACAUAUCAAAACUACACUUUACUCCCUGAGCGAGGGUUUGUGAAGCAUAGCGGGGUGGGAACCCCACAGUGAAUGGGAACGGUGCUGCUUUAUUUGAAAUGUUUUCUUACCUCAUUCUGUGCCCCAGUAAGGGGCCCAGCCUCAUCUGUCUGGCUUGGCCCCAUGUUCCUCUUGUCCCCUGCCCCACUGCCUAUCUGGUGCAGCUCACAACCCCAGGUGCUGCUUGCCACUCCAGCUUUCACAUUGACCAGUUUCAAUUCAUCUCUCUUAGUGCUCAUGCUUCUGAAACUUGCCCAGUUUUCUUUCCCUUGGCUUCCUUCAAGUAUUUUGUUUUUCUUUUCCUAUUUUUGUAGAAGACUUAAGAAUCUUUAUUAUGGCUUUCUCUGUUGGGAUUGGAAUUGGAAGAAAACAUAAUUUUUUGUAUUUAAAAGGCAGUUUAAUACGUAAGCAUUUUUCCUGUAUAAGACUGCCUUGCUAGUGUGCUCUCCCUGCUGUAUCUUACUUCAUGAGGAAUUAUAUCUUCUUGCCUCUACUUGGAUACUGCCUCUUAGGACCUAAGCAGAAGAGCAGUAAAAGCAGACGUACAUAGGGAUGGAGUUGGUCCGGCUCUAUCCAUUCUCUAACCCUUGCUGUGCAAUUACUCUUCCAUUUCCCAGAAGGAACUAUUUGGACUGUAUGGGUUGACUUCGGUUAUGUACUAGAGAGGGUUAAGAAUACCAUAGAGCUUGGGCCUUGAGACUGUCUAUUAGUGCUUUAUCUUCCUAGGGUUGUCUUGAUUAGGGUCUAGGUCUAGUUACAGAUUGGUCUUCAACUGAAGAAUUGUAAUAACUUUUUAAAAAGUCAGACCUUUGCAGGAGCUAGAGUAAUGUUGGGUUAUCUUUGCCCUUGACUUUUUGUAGGCAUGUAAGAGGAUAUAGAGGGAAAGGAGGGUCUAAGUGAGACUGUGACCUACUUCCUGACAAUGUCUUGGAAGCUGGAUGAAGGUAAGGGACAAGAGCCAUGGUCUAAUCAUUCUUUUAGCUAGGGAAUGCAGAUCAUGAUAUUACUGUUUUCUUUCUGGCCUUUUCUCUUGGUUAGAGGAGGAAGUGGGACAUAGUUUAGAAUAAUGAUUUGUUUGCAUUACCUCCCAACCUUUCUGUGUGUAUGUGUGUGUGUGUGUGUGUGUGUGUGUGUGUGUGUGUCCCCGUGUCCCUCUAUCAAUAGGGCAGUAGCCCCCCCUCCUGCCCUGGGUGGAUGUAGGUGGGCUUGGUCCAGCAGAUGCCCUGAGGGUACAGGCUCUUUGGGGGAGAAAAUGCUCCCUACCAUGUAGUUGACAGUGUUUAGGAACUCUCCCUUUCCCUACCUACCUUUCCUCUAACAACAGAAUCCUAUUCUCUCCUCUUCAAUUAAGUGUAUUGAUCACCUUGUAAUCCUUUAUGUAUCUGAGUGUGUGUGUGUGUGUGUGUGUGUGUGUGUGUGUGUGUGUGUGUAAAACGGGAAAAGGGGGUUCUUUAAAAUUUUACGUGGUUUGUGGCUUUUUCUUUCAUUAAUUCCCACCACCACCGCAUGCCCAGGGACCACUGCCUGGCAUUAUCGCAUGCUGGGAUCAUUGGGGGGAGGGUUGUGAAGCUCACCACUGUCCUUUGUUUUGGAGAUAAUUAUUUUUGCAUAAGUAGUACAUCCUAUACAGAUAGCUGACUAACUGUGUAUUCCCCUUGCCCCUAUGGCUGCUGGUGUAAAUAAGUUGCAUCUCCCCAUUGGUAAACAGUAAGAAUAAACAAAAUUUUAAAAAAUGA
RNA transcript from Carlito syrichta (Philippine tarsier), 3643 nucleotides. It is a transcript of the gene named ataxin 7 like 3B, with no coding region annotated. The transcript has 2 exons. Lineage: Eukaryota; Metazoa; Chordata; Mammalia; Primates; Tarsiidae. The record is from RefSeq and is a predicted model, not a curated record.